AACGAACGCUGGCGGCAGGCCUAACACAUGCAAGUCGAGCGCCCCGCAAGGGGAGCGGCGGACGGGUGAGUAACGCGUGGGAACGUACCCUUUGCUACGGAAUAGCCUCGGGAAACUGGGAGUAAUACCGUAUGUGCCCUUCGGGGGAAAGAUUUAUCGGCAAAGGAUCGGCCCGCGUUGGAUUAGGUAGUUGGUGGGGUAAGGGACUACCAAGCCGACGAUCCAUAGCUGGUUUGAGAGGAUGAUCAGCCACACUGGGACUGAGACACGGCCCAGACUCCUACGGGAGGCAGCAGUGGGGAAUCUUAGACAAUGGGCGCAAGCCUGAUCUAGCCAUGCCGCGUGAGCGAUGAAGGCCUUAGGGUUGUAAAGCUCUUUCAGGGGGGAAGAUAAUGACUGUACCCCCAGAAGAAGCCCCGGCUAACUCCGUGCCAGCAGCCGCAGUAAAAC
Molecule: ribosomal RNA, 450 nt
Filed under: uncultured bacterium
Lineage: Bacteria
Description: bacterial SSU rRNA
Rfam family: Bacterial small subunit ribosomal RNA
Source: RNAcentral